This 433-nucleotide ribosomal RNA is filed under the name uncultured bacterium. RNAcentral's name for it is "partial 16S ribosomal RNA". It matches the Rfam family "Bacterial small subunit ribosomal RNA", at positions 29 to 507 of the family's 1533-position model. The record is from RNAcentral.
AACGAACGCUGGCGGCAUGCCUAACACAUGCAAGUCGAACGAGACCUUCGGGUCUAGUGGCGCACGGGUGCGUAACGCGUGGGAACCUGCCCUUAGGUUCGGAAUAACUCCCCGACAGGGGUGCUAAUACCGGAUAAUGUCUUCGGACCAAAGAUUUAUCGCCUUUGGAUGGGCCCGCGUUGGAUUAGCUAGUUGGUAGGGUAAAAGCCUACCAAGGCGACGAUCCAUAGCUGGUCUGAGAGGAUGAUCAGCCACACUGGGACUGAGACACGGCCCAGACUCCUACGGGAAGCAGCAGUGGGGAAUAUUGGACAAUGGGCGAAAGCCUGAUCCAGCAAUGCCGCGUGAGUGAUGAAGGCCUUAGGGUUGUAAAGCUCUUUUACCCGGGAUGAUAAUGACAGUACCGGGAGAAUAAGCUCCGGCUAACUCCGUG